RNAcentral lists this ribosomal RNA (596 nucleotides) under uncultured organism. Its description in RNAcentral is "bacterial SSU rRNA". It matches the Rfam family "Bacterial small subunit ribosomal RNA", at positions 141 to 717 of the family's 1533-position model. The record is from RNAcentral.
GGACUACUGCUGGAAGCUGCAGUUAAUACUCGAUAAGACCACAGCAUCUUCGGAUGCAGCGGUCAAAGGUGGGGACCUUCGGGCCUACCGGCAUUAGAGCGAGCCAUGUCCUAUCAGCUUGUUGGUGAGGUAACGGCUCACCAAGGCGACGACGGGUACCGGGACUGAGAUGUUGACCCGGCGCGGUCUGGACUGAGACACUGCCCGGAGUCCUGCGGGAGGCUGCAGUAACGAAUAUUCCGCAAUGGGCGAAAGCCUGACGGAGCGACGCCGCGUGUGGGAGGAAGGCCUUCGGGGUGUAAACCACUGUCAGGGAUUACCAAGCAAAGUUGGCGAAUAGCCUUCUGCGUUGAGGCGUCCCAGAGGAAGCCACGGCUAACUUCGUGCCAGCAGCCGCGGUAAUACGAAGGUGGCGAGCGUUGUUCGGAAUCACUGGGCUUAAAGGGCACGCAGGCGGACUGUCAAGCGUCUUGUGAAAGCCCCCGGAGUUACCGGGGAAUUGCUGGGCGAACUGGCAGUCUUGAGGCAGGUAAGGGCGAGUGGAACUCUUGGUGGAGCGGUGGAAUGCGUAGAUUUAAAGAGGAACGCCGGAGGCG